CAAAAUUCAAUAUUGAUACCAAAGUACCAAAAAACUUGAUCAUAUAUUUUUUAAUAAUAAUUAUUAUUAUUAUCAUUUAGUGUUUUU
RNAcentral lists this microRNA precursor (87 nucleotides) under Daucus carota subsp. sativus. RNAcentral describes it as "sRNA DCAR_mi00080". Lineage: Eukaryota; Viridiplantae; Streptophyta; Magnoliopsida; Apiales; Apiaceae. The record is from RNAcentral.